This 371-nucleotide ribosomal RNA is filed under the name uncultured bacterium. RNAcentral's name for it is "bacterial SSU rRNA". It matches the Rfam family "Bacterial small subunit ribosomal RNA", at positions 527 to 898 of the family's 1533-position model. The record is from RNAcentral.
GAAGGGGGCGAGCGUUGUUCGGAAUUACUGGGCGUAAAGGGCGCGUAGGCGGUUUGACAAGUCAGGCGUGAAAUUCCCGGGCUCAACCUGGGGGCUGCGCUUGAUACUGUUGAGCUUGAAUGCAGGAGAGGAUGGUGGAAUUCCCAGUGUAGAGGUGAAAUUCGUAGAUAUUGGGAAGAACACCGGUGGCGAAGGCGGCCAUCUGGCCUGUGAUUGACGCUGAGGCGCGAAAGCGUGGGGAGCAAACAGGAUUAGAUACCCUGGUAGUCCACGCCGUAAACGAUGAGUGCUAGACGUUGGCGAGCAUGCUCGUCAGUGUCGCAGCUAACGCAUUAAGCACUCCGCCUGGGGAGUACGGCCGCAAGGUUAAA